This 765-nucleotide ribosomal RNA is filed under the name Paraphaeosphaeria sp. RNAcentral's name for it is "partial large subunit ribosomal RNA". It matches the Rfam family "Eukaryotic large subunit ribosomal RNA", at positions 156 to 940 of the family's 3401-position model. Lineage: Eukaryota; Fungi; Ascomycota; Dothideomycetes; Pleosporales; Didymosphaeriaceae. The record is from RNAcentral.
AGGAUGCUUUGGCAUUGGCGGCGGUCUAAGUUCCUUGGAACAGGACAUCACAGAGGGUGAGAAUCCCGUACGUGGUCGCCUGCCCUUGCCGUGUAAAGCUCCUUCGACGAGUCGAGUUGUUUGGGAAUGCAGCUCUAAAUGGGAGGUAAAUUUCUUCUAAAGCUAAAUACUGGCCAGAGACCGAUAGCGCACAAGUAGAGUGAUCGAAAGAUGAAAAGUACUUUGGAAAGAGAGUCAAAAAGCACGUGAAAUUGUUGAAAGGGAAGCGCUUGCAGCCAGACUUGCCCGCAGUUGCUCACCUAGGCUUUCGCCUGGGGCACUCUUCUGCGGGCAGGCCAGCAUCAGUUUGGGCGGUUGGAUAAAGGCCUCUGUCACGUAUCUCCCUUCGGGGUGACCUUAUAGGGGAGGCGCAAUGCAACCAGCCCGGACUGAGGUCCGCGCAUCUGCUAGGAUGCUGGCGUAAUGGCUGUAAGCGGCCCGUCUUGAAACACGGACCAAGGAGUCUAACAUCUAUGCGAGUGUUUGGGUGUCAAGCCCGAGCGCGCAAUGAAAGUGAACGGAGGUGGGAACCCUUUGGGUGCACCAUCGACCGAUCCUGAUGUCUUCGGAUGGAUUUGAGUAAGAGCAUAGCUGUUGGGACCCGAAAGAUGGUGAACUAUGCUUGAAUAGGGUGAAGCCAGAGGAAACUCUGGUGGAGGCUCGCAGCGGUUCUGACGUGCAAAUCGAUCGUCAAAUUUGGGCAUAGGGGCGAAAGACUAAUCGAAC